Podarcis lilfordi (Lilford's wall lizard) is the source of this 73-nucleotide non-coding RNA. The record is from the annotation of a GenBank genome assembly. Lineage: Eukaryota; Metazoa; Chordata; Lepidosauria; Squamata; Lacertidae.
GCUUGGAUAGCUCAGUUGGUAGAACACGAGAGUCUUAAUCUCAAGGCUGUGGGUUCAAGCUGCAUGUUGAGCA